UACCCGCAGCACAAGUGGUGGUCAUUAUUAUUGGGCCUAAAGCGUCCGUAGCAGGCUUGUUAGAUGCCUGGGUAAAUCGAUGCGCUCAACGCAUCGACUUCCGGGUAGACCGGCAAGCUCGAGACCGGGAGAGGCGUGGGCUACUCGAGGGGUAGGGGUAAAAUCCUGUAAUCCUUCGGGGAGGACCAGUGGCGAAGGCGCCACGCUAGAACGGCUCUGACUGUGAGGGACGAAGCCCUGGGGCGCAAACCGG
This 253-nucleotide ribosomal RNA is filed under the name uncultured bacterium. RNAcentral's name for it is "partial 16S ribosomal RNA". It matches the Rfam family "Archaeal small subunit ribosomal RNA", at positions 474 to 727 of the family's 1478-position model. The record is from RNAcentral.